RNAcentral lists this ribosomal RNA (497 nucleotides) under uncultured bacterium. Its description in RNAcentral is "partial 16S ribosomal RNA". It matches the Rfam family "Bacterial small subunit ribosomal RNA", at positions 28 to 507 of the family's 1533-position model. The record is from RNAcentral.
GAUGAACGCUGGCGGCGUGCCUAAUACAUGCAAGUCGAGCGAACGGACGAGAAGCUUGCUUUUCUGAUGUUAGCGGCGGACGGGUGAGUAACACGUGGAUAACCUACCUAUAAGACUGGGAUAACUUCGGGAAACCGGAGCUAAUACCGGUUAAUAUUUUGAACCGCAUGGUUCAUAAGUGAAAGACGGUCUUGCUGUCACUUAUAGAUGGAUCCGCGCUGCAUUAGCUAGUUGGUAAGGUAACGGCUUACCAAGGCAACGAUGCAUAGCCGACCUGAGAGGGUGAUCGGCCACACUGGAACUGAGACACGGUCCAGACUCCUACGGGAGGCAGCAGUAGGGAAUCUUCCGCAAUGGGCGAAAGCCUGACGGAGCAACGCCGCGUGAGUGAUGAAGGUCUUCGGAUCGUAAAACUCUGUUAUUAGGGAAGAACAUAUGUGUAAGUAACUGUGCACAUCUUGACGGUACCUAAUCAGAAAGCCACGGCUAACUACGUG